This 375-nucleotide ribosomal RNA is filed under the name Triticum aestivum (bread wheat). RNAcentral describes it as "partial small subunit ribosomal RNA". The record is from RNAcentral. Lineage: Eukaryota; Viridiplantae; Streptophyta; Magnoliopsida; Poales; Poaceae.
AUGGUCUCAGAGGCGCAUAACAACCGUGCGGAGUACGACAAGUCUUUGCAUGAAGCGCGUCGGGAGAUCGACUUGAAGGUGCAAAAGGAUCGCGCUGAGGUAGAUAAGAAACUGAAAAAAGAACGUUCAUACGUGGACAGGAUGAUAAAGGAGGAGCGUGAGGAGUUUUCCCGUAAGAUGGCGAAGAUGCAUCUUGAGAUUGAAGAAAAGUAUAAGAGGGACUGUGAGUACAUGGAAAAAAAAGUUUGUCUUAGGCUACAAGGAAAUGCAUCAAACGUUGCAGAAGGACCGGAAGCUUGUGGACAGUAUUAUACAGACAGAGCGAGUCAGGAUGGAUGCCUAUGUGUUGUAGGCACGUGCGGAUAUGGACAGUAA